Molecule: ribosomal RNA, 325 nt
Filed under: uncultured eukaryote
Lineage: Eukaryota
Description: partial 18S ribosomal RNA
Rfam family: Eukaryotic small subunit ribosomal RNA
Source: RNAcentral
CCCUUAGAUGUUCUGGGCUGCACGCGCGCUACACUGAAGCGUUCAACGAGUAUUCACCUUGCCCGGGAGGGUUGGGUAAUCUUUUGAAAACGCUUCGUGAUGGGGAUAGAUUAUUGCAAUUAUUAAUCUUCAACGAGGAAUUCCUAGUAAGCGCGAGUCAUCAGCUCGUGCUGAUUACGUCCCUGCCCUUUGUACACACCGCCCGUCGCUCCUACCGAUUGAGCGAUCCGGUGAAUAAUUCGGACUGCAGCACUGCUUGGUCUCCAGGCUUUGCAGCGGAAAGUUUAGUGAACCUUAUCACUUAGAGGAAGGAGAANUCGUAACA